RNAcentral lists this ribosomal RNA (501 nucleotides) under uncultured Glomus. RNAcentral describes it as "SSU rRNA". It matches the Rfam family "Eukaryotic small subunit ribosomal RNA", at positions 569 to 1074 of the family's 1831-position model. The record is from RNAcentral. Lineage: Eukaryota; Fungi; Glomeromycota; Glomeromycetes; Glomerales; Glomeraceae.
AGCAGCCGCGGUAAUUCCAGCUCCAAUAGCGUAUAUUAAAGUUGUUGCAGUUAAAAAGCUCGUAGUUGAAUUUCGGGAUCAGUACGCUGGUCGUGCCUUUGGUAUGUACUGGUGUCACUGAUUCCUCCCUUCUGAAGAACCGUUAUGCCAUUUAUUUGGUGUGGCGGGGAAUCAGGACUGUUACUUUGAAAAAUUAGAGUGUUUAAAGCAGGCUCGCGCUUGAAUACAUUAGCAUGGAAUAAUGAAAUAGGACGUUUGAUCUUAUUUUGUUGGUUUCUAGGAUCGACGUAAUGAUUAAUAGGGAUAGUUGGGGGCAUUAGUAUUCAAUUGUCAGAGGUGAAAUUCUUGGAUUUAUUGAAGACUAACUACUGCGAAAGCAUUUGCCAAGGAUGUUUUCAUUAAUCAAGAACGAAAGUUAGGGGAUCGAAGACGAUCAGAUACCGUCGUAGUCUUAACCAUAAACUAUGCCGACUAGGGAUCGGAUGAUGUUAUUUUUAAUGA